RNAcentral lists this transfer RNA (72 nucleotides) under Nippostrongylus brasiliensis. It matches the Rfam family "tRNA". From Rfam's summary of the family: Transfer RNA (tRNA) molecules are approximately 80 nucleotides in length. Lineage: Eukaryota; Metazoa; Nematoda; Chromadorea; Rhabditida; Heligmosomidae. The record is from Rfam by way of RNAcentral.
GUCUCAGUAGUGUAAGUUAACACACGAGCCCCAGAUAGGCCUGAGAUGCGUGUUCGAAUCCCGCCUGAGCCG